RNAcentral lists this ribosomal RNA (301 nucleotides) under uncultured bacterium. RNAcentral's name for it is "partial 16S ribosomal RNA". It matches the Rfam family "Bacterial small subunit ribosomal RNA", at positions 509 to 807 of the family's 1533-position model. The record is from RNAcentral.
CAAUCGCCGCGGGAAUACAGAGGGUGCGAGCGUUAAUCGUAUUUACUGGGCGUAAAGCGUGCGUAGGCGGCUUCUUAAGUCGGAUGUGAAAUCCCUGAGCUUAACUUAGGAAUUGCAUUCGAUACUGGGAAGCUAGAGUAUGGGAGAGGAUGGUAGAAUUCCAGGUGUAGCGGUGAAAUGCGUAGAGAUCUGGAGGAAUACCGAUGGCGAAGGCAGCCAUCUGGCCUAAUACUGACGCUGAGGUACGAAAGCAUGGGGAGCAAACAGGAUUAGAUACCCCAGUAGUCCCUGUCUCUUAUAC